CUCCAUUUACAAAUGUGGUUUAUUUCCUGUAAUAAUCAGAGACAGACAACUGCUUACCGCAUGUGUUUUUAAAAGGCCUCAAGUCCACUUGGCUCUGCAGAAGGCUAAUGCUUUAUUGAAUAGGUCUCUUAAUGGGCUGCACAACUCGGUCAUUGGAUCCUGUUCUACACAAUGCUAAAGUGGCAUUACCAAAGAAGAAAAUUAUAGACACUGACACCGAAAUCGCUGAUGAAUAAACUGUUUUUUUUAAAUUGCACCUACCUUAUCUUGAUAAUUUUUAAAAUGUGUUUCAUACUUUGAAUACAGAGAACAGCUCCAAGCCAAGCAUUGGGUUUCCUGGGGCACCGAACAUCUAAACCGUUUCGAGCUCGCUAGAGCUGCUCCGCAAAUUACAGUCUCU
Molecule: non-coding RNA, 400 nt
Organism: Pelobates cultripes (western spadefoot toad)
Lineage: Eukaryota; Metazoa; Chordata; Amphibia; Anura; Pelobatidae
Source: the annotation of a GenBank genome assembly